This 78-nucleotide ribosomal RNA is filed under the name Nostoc sp. UIC 10630. RNAcentral describes it as "partial 16S ribosomal RNA". It matches the Rfam family "Bacterial small subunit ribosomal RNA", at positions 1 to 76 of the family's 1533-position model. The record is from RNAcentral. Lineage: Bacteria; Bacillati; Cyanobacteriota; Cyanophyceae; Nostocales; Nostocaceae.
UCAAAACGGAGAGUUUGAUCCUGGCUCAGGAUGAACGCUGGCGGUAUGCUUAACACAUGCAAGUCGAACGGUGUCUUC